CGCGCCACAGCCCGCCGGUAGCCGGCACCCAGCGCGUUCAGGAGGGGCCGCUGCCUCGACGCUGCAGCUCCUAUGCCGUUAGUAUUGUGUUUUACGGCUGUAAAUAGAGCGUUCUCAGGAAGAACACCGUUCGGUUCCCCUUCCGGCUGUCCGUCCCGUGACAGUCCUGUUACCACACUUAUCAAGCACAGAUUAAGGGUGAACGGAGUCCACCAGCGGAGGUAACGGCGUGAUUUGGGGCAGGGCCAAGACGCAGUUAAAGGGCAGCGUGUUCCCCUGUUGAAUUCCGUCCCGGCAGGGGUGUGAUCUGAGCAAGCACAAGCCAGACAAGUGGGAAGACAGAGCUGGGAACCAGAGGGAUCGUGCUUUAAUUGGCAGUUCUGCAGCUCUGUUGGCUUCCCUGGAGCCUGUGUGCUGCCCUCCCUGUGCUGGGGAGCAGCGCUUGCCUCUGGGCUGUGCUGGGGUGCAGCGUGAAAUGCAGCGGGGCCAAUUGCUUGGACCCCCCACAUGGUGCCCGAUGAAGCUACUGGGGUUUCCUGAGCUCUGUGGCCGGGACAGCAAUGCCCAGUACUCUGGGCUGCUCUGGGCUGCGGUGAUUCACCAGGGCACUGCAGCAAGCUGCGGCAGGAGGCAGCCCAGGCACCUGGGGCUGGAGCUGGAAGGGGCUGGUAUCCCACCAGGGUCUGUAUCUAGUCAAACGAGACCGUCACCUCAAAGCCAGGCAGGGUAGCCGUGCUCGGCCCCAUGCUCGCUGCUGCCGGCUCUCGCAGAGGCUGCUAAUCUCAGGCACUGGCACUUCCCCAAGUGACGUUCCCCUUAUCAGCCACCUGUGCCAGCCAUGGGCAUUCACUGCCAUCGUGCAGAACCUUUAGCCUAUUCAGGUGACAUUAAUGAUUCUGGGGCACGAACCAGUGGCUUGACCUGCUGCAUUUGUUUUUUGAAGUUGCAUUGCAUUUGUAUGGGAGAGGAAGGAGAGAAUUUGAAUCAAAAGCUGCACGCAAGCAAUCUCAGGAAGCCCCUAGCAGAAACCCAAAGGACGAACUCCCAAGUGAGCUGCAUCCUGGGGACUCUGAAAGGAUACUGCGUGCGGAGGAAGGUGCUCUUCACACCAUGAUGUUCCCCCGGCCUUGGUGACUACCCAGUACUCCCUGUGCUGGGGACUGCCAAUAAAUGCUGUUACUUAACUGUUCCUCUGUCCUGC
Molecule: long non-coding RNA, 1201 nt
Organism: Struthio camelus australis
Lineage: Eukaryota; Metazoa; Chordata; Aves; Struthioniformes; Struthionidae
Source: Ensembl